UACCAAACCUUUUUGUCAGGGUGCUUCUUUAUCCGUUUAGGAUAACCUUUUCUACAGAAGUGUCUGUUACUGUUUUGGGAGAGUAAUACUGCUCGCUUAUCCAUAUUUCCUCGUUCUGAGGAAGCCUAAUGGAUAAAUUAGAAGGAUAACCUUUGUUUUAAAGGUAUACCUUCGCUUUUAGAGCAGCGAGGAUCUUAUGAGUUGAGCUUUUGUUAUUUGAGUUUUGUUUCUCAAGUAUCCAUACAAAAUGUUCGUAGUAAAGAUCCUCACAAUU
Saccharomyces kudriavzevii IFO 1802 is the source of this 274-nucleotide small nucleolar RNA. It matches the Rfam family "Small nucleolar RNA snR191". NCBI's taxonomy places the organism in Eukaryota, Fungi, Ascomycota, Saccharomycetes, Saccharomycetales, Saccharomycetaceae. The record is from Rfam.